RNAcentral lists this ribosomal RNA (2923 nucleotides) under Klebsiella pneumoniae. RNAcentral's name for it is "23S ribosomal RNA". It matches the Rfam family "Bacterial large subunit ribosomal RNA". Lineage: Bacteria; Pseudomonadati; Pseudomonadota; Gammaproteobacteria; Enterobacterales; Enterobacteriaceae. The record is from RNAcentral.
GGGUUGUGAGGUUAAGCGACUAAGCGUACACGGUGGAUGCCCUGGCAGUCAGAGGCGAUGAAGGACGUGCUAAUCUGCGAAAAGCGUCGGUAAGGUGAUAUGAACCGUUACAGCCGGCGAUGUCCGAAUGGGGAAACCCAGUGCAAUUCGUUGCACUAUCGUUAACUGAAUACAUAGGUUAACGAGGCGAACCGGGGGAACUGAAACAUCUAAGUACCCCGAGGAAAAGAAAUCAACCGAGAUUCCCCCAGUAGCGGCGAGCGAACGGGGAGCAGCCCAGAGUCUGAAUCAGCUUGUGUGUUAGUGGAACGGUCUGGAAAGUCCGACGGUACAGGGUGAUAGUCCCGUACACCAAAAUGCACAGGCUGUGAACUCGAAGAGUAGGGCGGGACACGUGGUAUCCUGUCUGAAUAUGGGGGGACCAUCCUCCAAGGCUAAAUACUCCUGACUGACCGAUAGUGAACCAGUACCGUGAGGGAAAGGCGAAAAGAACCCCGGCGAGGGGAGUGAAAAAGAACCUGAAACCGUGUACGUACAAGCAGUGGGAGCACCUUCGGGUGUGACUGCGUACCUUUUGUAUAAUGGGUCAGCGACUUAUAUUCUGUAGCAAGGUUAACCGUAUAGGGGAGCCGCAGGGAAACCGAGUCUUAACUGGGCGUUAAGUUGCAGGGUAUAGACCCGAAACCCGGUGAUCUAGCCAUGGGCAGGUUGAAGGUUGGGUAACACUAACUGGAGGACCGAACCGACUAAUGUUGAAAAAUUAGCGGAUGACUUGUGGCUGGGGGUGAAAGGCCAAUCAAACCGGGAGAUAGCUGGUUCUCCCCGAAAGCUAUUUAGGUAGCGCCUCGUGAACUCAUCUUCGGGGGUAGAGCACUGUUUCGGCUAGGGGGUCAUCCCGACUUACCAACCCGAUGCAAACUACGAAUACCGAAGAAUGUUAUCACGGGAGACACACGGCGGGUGCUAACGUCCGUCGUGAAGAGGGAAACAACCCAGACCGCCAGCUAAGGUCCCAAAGUCAUGGUUAAGUGGGAAACGAUGUGGGAAGGCACAGACAGCCAGGAUGUUGGCUUAGAAGCAGCCAUCAUUUAAAGAAAGCGUAAUAGCUCACUGGUCGAGUCGGCCUGCGCGGAAGAUGUAACGGGGCUAAACCAUGCACCGAAGCUGCGGCAGCGACACUAUGUGUUGUUGGGUAGGGGAGCGUUCUGUAAGCCUGCGAAGGUGUGCUGUGAGGCAUGCUGGAGGUAUCAGAAGUGCGAAUGCUGACAUAAGUAACGAUAAAGCGGGUGAAAAGCCCGCUCGCCGGAAGACCAAGGGUUCCUGUCCAACGUUAAUCGGGGCAGGGUGAGUCGACCCCUAAGGCGAGGCCGAAAGGCGUAGUCGAUGGGAAACAGGUUAAUAUUCCUGUACUUGGUGUUACUGCGAAGGGGGGACGGAGAAGGCUAUGUUAGCCGGGCGACGGUUGUCCCGGUUUAAGCAUGUAGGCUGGUUGUCCAGGCAAAUCCGGAUAAUCAAGGCUGAGGUGUGAUGACGAGGCACUACGGUGCUGAAGUAACAAAUGCCCUGCUUCCAGGAAAAGCCUCUAAGCAUCAGGUAACAUCAAAUCGUACCCCAAACCGACACAGGUGGUCAGGUAGAGAAUACCAAGGCGCUUGAGAGAACUCGGGUGAAGGAACUAGGCAAAAUGGUGCCGUAACUUCGGGAGAAGGCACGCUGGUGUGUAGGUGAAGUCCCUGCGGAUGGAGCUGAGACCAGUCGAAGAUACCAGCUGGCUGCAACUGUUUAUUAAAAACACAGCACUGUGCAAACACGAAAGUGGACGUAUACGGUGUGACGCCUGCCCGGUGCCGGAAGGUUAAUUGAUGGGGUUAUCCGUAAGGAGAAGCUCUUGAUCGAAGCCCCGGUAAACGGCGGCCGUAACUAUAACGGUCCUAAGGUAGCGAAAUUCCUUGUCGGGUAAGUUCCGACCUGCACGAAUGGCGUAAUGAUGGCCAGGCUGUCUCCACCCGAGACUCAGUGAAAUUGAACUCGCUGUGAAGAUGCAGUGUACCCGCGGCAAGACGGAAAGACCCCGUGAACCUUUACUAUAGCUUGACACUGAACAUUGAGCCUUGAUGUGUAGGAUAGGUGGGAGGCUUUGAAGCGUGGACGCCAGUCUGCGUGGAGCCAACCUUGAAAUACCACCCUUUAAUGUUUGAUGUUCUAACGUUGGCCCCUUACCGGGGUUGCGGACAGUGUCUGGUGGGUAGUUUGACUGGGGCGGUCUCCUCCCAAAGCGUAACGGAGGAGCACGAAGGUUAGCUAAUCCUGGUCGGACAUCAGGAGGUUAGUGCAAUGGCAUAAGCUAGCUUGACUGCGAGCGUGACGGCGCGAGCAGGUGCGAAAGCAGGUCAUAGUGAUCCGGUGGUUCUGAAUGGAAGGGCCAUCGCUCAACGGAUAAAAGGUACUCCGGGGAUAACAGGCUGAUACCGCCCAAGAGUUCAUAUCGACGGCGGUGUUUGGCACCUCGAUGUCGGCUCAUCACAUCCUGGGGCUGAAGUAGGUCCCAAGGGUAUGGCUGUUCGCCAUUUAAAGUGGUACGCGAGCUGGGUUUAGAACGUCGUGAGACAGUUCGGUCCCUAUCUGCCGUGGGCGCUGGAGAAUUGAGGGGGGCUGCUCCUAGUACGAGAGGACCGGAGUGGACGCAUCACUGGUGUUCGGGUUGUCAUGCCAAUGGCACUGCCCGGUAGCUAAAUGCGGAAGAGAUAAGUGCUGAAAGCAUCUAAGCACGAAACUUGCCCCGAGAUGAGUUCUCCCUGAGACUAUAAGUCUCCUGAAGGAACGUUAAAGACGAUGACGUUGAUAGGCCGGGUGUGUAAGCGCAGCGAUGCGUUGAGCUAACCGGUACUAAUGAACCGUGAGGCUUAACCUUACAACGCCGAAG